Ictidomys tridecemlineatus (thirteen-lined ground squirrel) is the source of this 72-nucleotide non-coding RNA. NCBI's taxonomy places the organism in Eukaryota, Metazoa, Chordata, Mammalia, Rodentia, Sciuridae. The record is from Rfam.
UGGGGUGUAGCUCCGUGGCAGAGUGCCUGCCUCACAUGUGUGAGACGCUGGGUUCGAUCCUCAGCACCACAU